AUUGAACGCUGGCGGCACGCUUAACACAUGCAAGUCGAACGGCAGCACGGGUGCUUGCACCUGGUGGCGAGUGGCGGACGGGUGAGUAAAGCGUAGGAAUCUACCAUACAGAGGGGGACAACUCGGGGAAACUCGAGCUAAUACCGCAUGUGGUCGAAAGAUUAAAGGUGGCCUCUGUUUUAAGCUAUCGCUGUAUGAUGAGCCUACGUCGGAUUAGCUAGUUGGUAAGGUAAAAGCUUACCAAGGCGACGAUCCGUAGCUGUUCUGAGAGGAUGAUCAGCCACACUGGGACUGAGACACGGCCCAGACUCCUACGGGAGGCAGCAGUGGGGAAUAUUGGACAAUGGGGGCAACCCUGAUCCAGCGAUGCCGCGUGUGUGAAGAAGGCCUGCGGGUUGUAAAGCACUUUAAUUAGGGAGGAUAAGGCACAUGUGAAUAAUGUGUGUUGUAGACGUUACCUAAAGAAUAAGCACCGGCUAACUCUG
Molecule: ribosomal RNA, 485 nt
Filed under: uncultured Coxiellaceae bacterium
Lineage: Bacteria; Pseudomonadati; Pseudomonadota; Gammaproteobacteria; Legionellales; Coxiellaceae
Description: bacterial SSU rRNA
Rfam family: Bacterial small subunit ribosomal RNA
Source: RNAcentral